GUGAGGAAUAUUGGGCAAUGGGGGCAACCCUGACCCAGCGACGCCGCGUGGGUGAAGAAAUCCCUCGGGAUGUAAAGCCCUGUUGUAUGGGAAGAGCAGAAGACGGUACCAUACGAGGAAGCCCCGGCAAACUACGUGCCAGCAGCCGCGGUAAUACGUAGGGGGCAAGCGUUGUCCGGAAUUACUGGGCGUAAAGCGCACGCAGGCUGAAUUAUAAGUCGGUAGUCAAAUACGGAGGCUCAACUUCCGGAUAUCUAUCGAUACUGUAAAUCUAGAGUAUGUGAGAGGGAAGCGGAAUUCCCGGUGUAGCGGUGAAAUGCGUAGAUAUUAGGAGGAACACCAGUGGCGAAGGCGGCUUGCUGGACGACAACUGACGCUGAGGCGCGAAAGCGUGGGGAGCAAACAGGAUUAGAUACCCGGGUAGUCC
This 427-nucleotide ribosomal RNA is filed under the name uncultured bacterium. RNAcentral's name for it is "partial 16S ribosomal RNA". It matches the Rfam family "Bacterial small subunit ribosomal RNA", at positions 354 to 796 of the family's 1533-position model. The record is from RNAcentral.